This 490-nucleotide ribosomal RNA is filed under the name uncultured bacterium. Its description in RNAcentral is "partial 16S ribosomal RNA". It matches the Rfam family "Bacterial small subunit ribosomal RNA", at positions 30 to 507 of the family's 1533-position model. The record is from RNAcentral.
AUUGAACGCUGGCGGCAGGCCUAACACAUGCAAGUCGAACGGUAACAGGAAGCAGCUUGCUGCUUUGCUGACGAGUGGCGGACGGGUGAGUAAUGUCUGGGAAACUGCCUGAUGGAGGGGGAUAACUACUGGAAACGGUAGCUAAUACCGCAUAACGUCGCAAGACCAAAGAGGGGGACCUUCGGGCCUCUUGCCAUCGGAUGUGCCCAGAUGGGAUUAGCUUGUUGGUGGGGUAACGGCUCACCAAGGCGACGAUCCCUAGCUGGUCUGAGAGGAUGACCAGCCACACUGGAACUGAGACACGGUCCAGACUCCUACGGGAGGCAGCAGUGGGGAAUAUUGCACAAUGGGCGCAAGCCUGAUGCAGCCAUGCCGCGUGUAUGAGGAAGGCCUUCGGGUUGUAAAGUACUUUCAGCGGGGAGGAAGGGAGUAAAGUUAAUACCUUUACUCAUUGACGUUACCCGCAGAAGAAGCACCGGCUAACUCCGUA